RNAcentral lists this long non-coding RNA (408 nucleotides) under Mustela putorius furo (domestic ferret). Its description in RNAcentral is "lncRNA (ENSMPUG00000031868.1)". Lineage: Eukaryota; Metazoa; Chordata; Mammalia; Carnivora; Mustelidae. The record is from RNAcentral.
UCCAAGGCUGAUAGACACAACACACAUGAACAUAUUCCAGUUACUGUCUGAUGCUCAGGAAUAAAGAGAAAAGCUUUCAUACUCUAAGAAAGAACGACCAGGUUACCUAUGAGGGAAAAGAAAAGUUUAGAAAUGGCUCUUCUGCAGCUCUGGAAGCUCGUCAGAGAAUAUGUAUUGAUCUCCAAGAAGACGCUCCUCUUCCAGGAUCCCUCUAUGCAGCAGAUCCCAUCACCGGCCAGGAUUCUACUAAAGUUCACAGGGGAAAAAUUAAAUAAUUGUUAUGAAGAUCGGAAAAUAAAGCAUCUUCGCAGAAUGAUCCUGUCUGGGCUGUCUCCUGUCGUGGAGGAGAUCCAGGUGACUUCUACAAUGUCCCAGGGUACUGGUCACGGAAUAGGUUUUACUGAUAAA